UUAGAAUUGACGGAUUUGAGU
Molecule: small nuclear RNA, 21 nt
Filed under: Arabidopsis thaliana (thale cress)
Lineage: Eukaryota; Viridiplantae; Streptophyta; Magnoliopsida; Brassicales; Brassicaceae
Description: snRNA_02889
Source: RNAcentral